AUCUACAUUGCUAAACAAUCGUCUUCAAGAGUCAAGGCUACUGGGUUGCAGUUUGAUAGUUUCAGGUAUUGUUAUUAACCCGAGACUUCGCCCCAGUUCUGAACAACACAGCCACCUCGUGCUGCUCCGGCCACGGUUUGAGGAUGGCCUGGGGGUGUCUUUUGUCUACUCGGAGGUGCAGGCAAUAGGUGGUGAAAAGUCUGCAGUGACCGUGCUGGAGCCCUGGGAGCCCCCCCCCACGGAGAGACGCUCUCUGAGGAUAAAGCAGAGCCCUGGGCCCUGAGAUGGGGGGUCUGGCCAGAAAAGGGGACCCUCGGCCUUGGCCAUUCUGCUCUCCUCCAGAGGCAGAGAAGUUGCACAGCUGUGGCCCAGCUGCCAGGGGAGCAAGAAGCAACGCUCUGGCUUCCGCUUUAAGAGGCCUUGAAGGGGGGGAUUCCCCAAACGUCAGAAGGUGUUCAGAAGAUGCUGGCAGCUGCAAGGCACCGCACGUGUCUGCUUGGGUAUCGCAACCGAAGGUGGAACGCUCCAUGCAAGGACAUCUGGUGUGUCCGACAAUAGUGGAGAUAAACGACAACACCAGGAUUUCUUAACACUGAAAUGGCUUCAUGCCCAGGGGCUGCCUUGUGAAAUGCUUCUUGCAGGAAAAGGUUUCACUGUAUUUAAACUAUGCUUCACUGUGAAUCCAGGCUUAUUUAAGUGGCAAUAUUCUGUAGUGCUUUAAAAAUAUGCCCAUAAGUGCUUUGAUGCUCCUCUCUUCCGGAGACAGAGCCGGAGUCCCUCUCCUUGGGGCUGGGCCGGACCUGGGGACUCGUCCUCAAUGAACGGAAUAAAG
Choloepus didactylus (southern two-toed sloth) is the source of this 832-nucleotide long non-coding RNA. RefSeq lists it as uncharacterized. NCBI's taxonomy places the organism in Eukaryota, Metazoa, Chordata, Mammalia, Pilosa, Megalonychidae. The record is from RefSeq and is a predicted model, not a curated record. The transcript has 3 exons.